This 1502-nucleotide ribosomal RNA is filed under the name metagenome. Its description in RNAcentral is "bacterial SSU rRNA". It matches the Rfam family "Bacterial small subunit ribosomal RNA". The record is from RNAcentral.
AGGAUGAACGCUGGCGGUGCGCCUAACACAUGUAAGUCGUGCGAUCGAGCCGAACUGAGUCUCCUUCGGGAGAUGAUGAUUGGUGACGGAGCGGCGGACGGGUGGGUAACGCGUGGCUAACCUACCCUCUUGACGGGGACAACCACCCGAAAGGGCGGCUAAUACCCGAUAUUGUCUGGAGUCGAUGGACUCCUUUCCAAAGGCGGUCCUGCCGCCGCAAGGGGAUGGGGCUGCGUCCUAUUAGCUAGUUGGUGAGGUAACGGCCCACCAAGGCUUCGAUGGGUAGCUGGUCUGAGAGGACGGCCAGCCACAUUGGGACUGAGAUACGGCCCAGACUCCUACGGGAGGCAGCAGUGGGGAAUCUUGGCCAAUGGACGAAAGUCUGAGCCAGCGACACCGCGUGGGGGAUGACGGCCUUCGGGUUGUAAACCUCUUUUCUGGGGAAAGAAUAAGGACGGGAGGAAAUGCCCGCCCGAUGACGGUACUCCAGGAAUAAGCAUCGGCUAACUCUGUGCCAGCAGCCGCGGUAAGACAGAGGAUGCGAGCGUUAUCCGGAAUUACUGGGCGUAAAGGGCGUCUAGGCGGUUCGGUAAGUCGUUUGUGAAAUCCCUCGGCUCAACCGAGGAGAGUUUUGCGAUACUGCCGGGCUUGGGUGCAGGAGAGGAGGGUGGAACUCACAGAGUAGCGGUGGAAUGCGUAGAUACUGUGAGGUACCCCGAUGGCGAAGGCAACCCUCUGGCCUGCUACCGACGCUGAAGCGCGAAAGCGUGGGGAGCAAAGGGGAUUAGAUACCCCCGUAGUCCACGCCCUAAACAAUGUUCACUUGGUGUCGGCCGCUCAUACUGGUCGGUGCCGAAGCUAACGCGUUAAGUGAACCGCCUGAGGAGUACGGCCGCAAGGCUAAAACUCAAGAGAAUUGACGGGUCCCUGCACAAGCGGUGGAGCACGUGGUUUAAUUCGAUGAUAAACGAAGAACCUCACCCAGGCUUGACAUACUAGUGGUAGGAACCUGAAAGGGGGACGACCCUGCCUUCGGGUAGGGAGCUAGUACAGGUGAUGCAUGGCUGUCGUCAGCUCGUGUCGUGGGAUGUUGGGUUCAGUCCCGAAACGAGCGCAACCCUUGUCGUUAGUUGCCAGCGGGUAAUGCCGGGGACUCUAACGAGACUGCUGGUGAAUAGCCGGAGGAAGGCGGGGAUGACGUCAAGUCAUCAUGUCCCUUAUGCCUGGGGCGACACACAUGCUACAAUGGGGGGUACAGAGGGUCGCAAUCCCGUAAGGGGGAGCCGAUCCAUAAAAGCCCCUCCAGUUCGGAUUGAGGCCUGCAACUCGACCUCAUGAAGCCGGAAUCGCUAGUAAUCGCGGGUCAGCCAUACCGCGGUGAAUAUGUACUCAGGGAUUGUACACACCGCCCGUCACACCAACCGAGUGGGGGGUACCUGAAGUCGCUCUUCUAAGGGCGCCUAAGGUAACUUCCGCAAGAGGGGUGAAGUCGUAACAAGGUA